RNAcentral lists this ribosomal RNA (497 nucleotides) under uncultured bacterium. Its description in RNAcentral is "bacterial SSU rRNA". It matches the Rfam family "Bacterial small subunit ribosomal RNA", at positions 774 to 1276 of the family's 1533-position model. The record is from RNAcentral.
AGAAAAUAGAUACCCCGGUAGUCCACGCCGUAAACGAUGGAUACUAGCUGUUCGGAGCAAUCUGAGUGGCUAAAGCGAAAAGUGAUAAGUAUCCCACCUGGGGAGUACGCACGCAAGUGUGAAACUCAAAGGAAUUGACGGGGGCCCGCACAAGCGGUGGAGCAUGUGGUUUAAUUCGAUGAUACGCGAGGAACCUUACCAGGGCUUAAAUGUAGAUUGACAGGACUGGAAACAGUUUUUCUUCGGACAAUUUACAAGGUGCUGCAUGGUUGUCGUCAGCUCGUGCCGUGAGGUGUCAGGUUAAGUCCUAUAACGAGCGCAACCCCUGUCGUUAGUUGCCAGCGAGUCAUGUCGGGAACUCUAACGAGACUGCCAGUGUAAACUGUGAGGAAGGUGGGGAUGACGUCAAAUCAUCACGGCCCUUACGUCCUGGGCCACACACGUGCUACAAUGGUAGGUACAGAGAGCAGCCACUGCGCGAGCAGGAGCGAAUCUAC